Molecule: ribosomal RNA, 484 nt
Filed under: uncultured bacterium
Lineage: Bacteria
Description: partial 16S ribosomal RNA
Rfam family: Bacterial small subunit ribosomal RNA
Source: RNAcentral
AUUGAACGCUGGCGGAAUGCUUUACACAUGCAAGUCGAACGAUGAACCUUAGCUUGCUAAGGGGAUUAGUGGCGAACGGGUGAGUAAUAUAUCGGAACGUGCCUUGUAAUGGGGGAUAACUAGUCGAAAGAUUAGCUAAUACCGCAUACGCCCUGAGGGGGAAAGUAGGGGAUCUUCGGACCUUACGUUAUAAGAGCGGCCGAUAUCUGAUUAGCUAGUUGGUGGGGUAAUGGCCUACCAAGGCGACGAUCAGUAGCUGGUCUGAGAGGACGACCAGCCACACUGGAACUGAGACACGGUCCAGACUCCUACGGGAGGCAGCAGUGGGGAAUGUUGGACAAUGGGCGCAAGCCUGAUCCAGCCAUUCCGCGUGAGUGAAGAAGGCCUUCGGGUUGUAAAGCUCUUUCGCAAGGGAAGAAAACGUACCAUCGAAUAAAUGGUGAGGCUGACGGUACCUUGAUAAGAAGCACCGGCUAACUACGUG